UCAUCCUUCAAGAUAGCCUUGUUCGUCGGACGUUAUAUCAUUGUUUCACCGUUGGAUUGGUCAGGAUUUUGGAUAUGUUGUUCAUCCAGAUGUUAUAUAAAUUCUGAACGGUUAAGAUCGGAAACAAACAUUCCUACCAGAAAUUGUACUUCCCGAACAAUAGGUCUCCAAUUUUCAGGAGAAGCAUUCACUCGACUUCUUAAGAGCUCGUAUAGUAGGAGCUUAAGGAGGGAUUGCAGGAGGGACACAACAACAACAAGGAAGAGCGAGUUGAGCUUCUGCAGCUGGUCCUUCAGAUUCACGCCAGGAGUAGCGUUUUAGGUCCUCUAGUCUCCUUUUGUAUGAUUGAAUAAGAAGAUGAACAUUAAUGUAUUUUGUCUUUAAGGAACUAAAUGACUUAAUAUGUAAUAGUACUCCUUUUACAUUAAGUGUCGGGACAUAAAAAUGUA
Long non-coding RNA from Populus trichocarpa (black cottonwood), 449 nucleotides. RefSeq lists it as uncharacterized. The record is from RefSeq and is a predicted model, not a curated record. Lineage: Eukaryota; Viridiplantae; Streptophyta; Magnoliopsida; Malpighiales; Salicaceae. The transcript is spliced from 3 exons.